CAAUAGCGUAUAUUAAAGUUGUUGCGGUUAAAAAGCUCGUAGUUGGAUUUCUGCCGAGGACGACCGGUCCGCCCUCUGGGUGAGUAUCUGGCUCGGCCUGGGCAUCUUCUUGGAGAACGUAGCUGCACUUGACUGUGUGGUGCGGUAUCCAGGACUUUUACUUUGAGGAAAUUAGAGUGUUUCAAGCAGGCUUACGCCUUGAAUACAUUAGCAUGGAAUAAUAAGAUAGGACCUCGGUUCUAUUUUGUUGGUUUCUAGAGCUGAGGUAAUGAUUAAUAGGGAUAGUUGGGGGCAUUCGUAUUUAACUGUCAGAGGUGAAAUUCUUGGAUUUGUUAAAGACUGACUACUGCGAAAGCAUUUGCCAAGGAUGUUUNCAUUG
RNAcentral lists this ribosomal RNA (379 nucleotides) under uncultured eukaryote. Its description in RNAcentral is "partial 18S ribosomal RNA". It matches the Rfam family "Eukaryotic small subunit ribosomal RNA", at positions 592 to 975 of the family's 1831-position model. The record is from RNAcentral.